This 261-nucleotide ribosomal RNA is filed under the name uncultured bacterium. RNAcentral describes it as "partial 16S ribosomal RNA". It matches the Rfam family "Bacterial small subunit ribosomal RNA", at positions 793 to 1055 of the family's 1533-position model. The record is from RNAcentral.
GUCCACGCCGUAAACGUUUGGCACUAGGUGUGGGUCUCAACCAACGAGAUCCGCGCCGUCGCUAACGCAUUAAGUGCCCCGCCUGUGGAGUACGGUCGCAAGACUAAAACUCAAAGGAAUUGACGGGGCCCGCACAAGCAGCGGAGCGUGUUGCUUAAUUCGAUGCAACGCGAAGAACCUUACCUGGGUUUGACAUGUCCGGAAAAGCUCUAGAGAUAGGGUGUCCUUCGGGGCCGGACACAGGUGGUGCAUGGCUGUCGU